CAGCCGCGUAAUUCCAGCUCCAAUAGCGUAUAUUAAAGUUGUUGCAGUUAAAAAGCUCGUAGUUGAAUUUCGGGAUCAAGGAAUCGGUCAUGCCUUGGUAUGUACUGGUUUUAUUGGUUCUCACCUUCUAAAGAACCAUAAUGUCAUUUAUUUGAUGUUAUGGGGAAUUAGGACUGUUACCUUGAAAAAAUUAGAGUGUUUAAAGCAAGCUUACGCUUGAAUACAUUAGCAUGGAAUAAUGAAAUAGGACAUCAGAUUCUAUUUUGUUGGUUUCUAGGAUCGAUGUAAUGAUUAAUAGGGAUAGUUGGGGGCAUUAGUAUUCAAUUGUCAGAGGUGAAAUUCUUGGAUUUAUUGAAGACUAACUACUGCGAAAGCAUUUGCCAAGGAUGUUUUCAUUAAUCAAGAACGAAAGUUAGGGGAUCGAAGACGAUCAGAUACCGUCGUAGUCUUAACCAUAAACUAUGCCGACUAGGGAUCGGAUGAUGUUAAUUUUUUAAUGACUCAUUCGGCACCUUACG
This 518-nucleotide unclassified non-coding RNA is filed under the name uncultured Glomeromycotina. Its description in RNAcentral is "SSU rRNA". It matches the Rfam family "Eukaryotic small subunit ribosomal RNA", at positions 571 to 1092 of the family's 1831-position model. Lineage: Eukaryota; Fungi; Glomeromycota. The record is from RNAcentral.